UUCCAGGGGUGGGAAUCGAACCCACAACCUUCUGCUUACCGGGCAGGUGCCAUGUCCACUAGGCUACCCUGGA
Molecule: non-coding RNA, 73 nt
Organism: Cordylochernes scorpioides
Lineage: Eukaryota; Metazoa; Arthropoda; Arachnida; Pseudoscorpiones; Chernetidae
Source: the annotation of a GenBank genome assembly